RNAcentral lists this ribosomal RNA (506 nucleotides) under uncultured bacterium. RNAcentral's name for it is "partial 16S ribosomal RNA". It matches the Rfam family "Bacterial small subunit ribosomal RNA", at positions 29 to 523 of the family's 1533-position model. The record is from RNAcentral.
AGUGAACGCUGGCGGUAGGCCUAACACAUGCAAGUCGAACGGCAGCACAGGAGAGCUUGCUCUCUGGGUGGCGAGUGGCGGACGGGUGAGGAAUACAUCGGAAUCUACUCUGUCGUGGGGGAUAACGUAGGGAAACUUACGCUAAUACCGCAUACGACCUACGGGUGAAAGCAGGGGAUCUUCGGACCUUGCGCGAUUGAAUGAGCCGAUGUCGGAUUAGCUAGUUGGCGGGGUAAAGGCCCACCAAGGCGACGAUCCGUAGCUGGUCUGGAAGGAUGAUCAGACACACUGGAACUGUGACACGGUCCAGACUCCCACGGGAGGCAGCAGUGGGGAAUAUUGGACAAUGGGCGCAAGCCUGAUCCAGCCAUACCGCGUGGGUGAAGAAGGCCUUCGGGUUGUAAAGCCCUUUUGUUGGGAAAGAAAUCCAGCUGGCUAAUACCCGGUUGGGAUGACGGUACCCAAAGAAUAAGCACCGGCUAACUUCGUGCCAGCAGCCGCCGUAA